GUGCUACGGAAUUGAACAUUUUCGACCCUCGUCCAAAUCCAACGACCUACUGUAACCUCAAUUAUUUUAUCAUUUCAUUCAUAACAACUUCUGAAAUGAUAUAAUAACUUAUUUUGAAGAUUUUCGUUUGAUCACUUUGUUUCUGAGGUAUUUCAGUGUGUUUGGUAUGCAAAUAUCCGGAAUUUACGUCACAAAUGCAUGACUUAAGGUAAAAUCUUGUAUAUCGUAUUCACUAUCCAGUUUAAUUCAUUAAAAUGCAGUUUGGAGUUGGGGAGGAUUACAUAUACCGAGUAUGUAAAAUAUCAUUUAUCCUUUUUAUUUCAUGAUAUUUAACUGUACAUUCUUUGAUCAGCAUUAUAUGUACAUGUGACGUG
This is a non-coding RNA of Paramuricea clavata, 374 nucleotides long. NCBI's taxonomy places the organism in Eukaryota, Metazoa, Cnidaria, Anthozoa, Malacalcyonacea, Plexauridae. The record is from the annotation of a GenBank genome assembly.